This 286-nucleotide long non-coding RNA is filed under the name Bos taurus (domestic cattle). RNAcentral's name for it is "long non-coding RNA NONBTAT015447". The record is from RNAcentral. Lineage: Eukaryota; Metazoa; Chordata; Mammalia; Artiodactyla; Bovidae.
UUUUUGGUUUCCUUUCUGUAACUGAAAAUAAAAUUGCAGCUUAAUGCUAAUGAACCAGGGCUUCCUAAGGUCCCACUGGAAACAUGAGCACAUGUACUGUAGCAAGGCAAGAUUAUUCUGCCACAAGCAUAAUCACCUUACACAAAAUGUGAUUACUCUGGGCUGCAAUCUUUAUCCCCAAAGUCAAUUUAUUAAUCAAACCAGUGGGUAGAAAAUCUUGCCUUGUCUGUCGGGUCCUUAAGGUUUGGUGUGCUUGUUUAUGAGUUUACGAGCAUAGCAUUCCUUC